AGUGAACGCUGGCGGUAGGCCUAACACAUGCAAGUCGAACGGCAGCACAGUAAGAGCUUGCUCUUACGGGUGGCGAGUGGCGGACGAGUGAGGAAUACAUCGGAAUCUACUUUUUCGUGGGGGAUAACGUAGGGAAACUUACGCUAAUACCGCAUACGACCUACGGGUGAAAGCAGGGGAUCUUCGGACCUUGCGCGAUUGAAUGAGCCGAUGUCGGAUUAGCUAGUUGGCGGGGUAAAGGCCCACCAAGGCGACGAUCCGUAGCUGGUCUGAGAGGAUGAUCAGCCACACUGGAACUGAGACACGGUCCAGACUCCUACGGGAGGCAGCAGUGGGGAAUAUUGGACAAUGGGCGCAAGCCUGAUCCAGCCAUACCGCGUGGGUGAAGAAGGCCUUCGGGUUGUAAAGCCCUUUUGUUGGGAAAGAAAAGCAGCAGGUUAAUACCCCGCUGUUCUGACGGUACCCAAAGAAUAAGCACCGGCUAACUCCGUG
RNAcentral lists this ribosomal RNA (492 nucleotides) under uncultured bacterium. Its description in RNAcentral is "partial 16S ribosomal RNA". It matches the Rfam family "Bacterial small subunit ribosomal RNA", at positions 29 to 507 of the family's 1533-position model. The record is from RNAcentral.